GACGAACGCUGGCGGCGUGCUUAGCACAUGCAAGUCGAACGGAAAGGCCCUGCUUUUGUGGGGUGCUCGAGUGGCGAACGGGUGAGUAACACGUGAGUAACCUGCCCUUGACUUUGGGAUAACUUCAGGAAACUGGGGCUAAUACCGGAUAGGAGCUCCUGCUGCAUGGUGGGGGUUGGAAAGUUUCGGCGGUUGGGGAUGGACUCGCGGCUUAUCAGCUUGUUGGUGGGGUAGUGGCUUACCAAGGCUUUGACGGGUAGCCGGCCUGAGAGGGUGACCGGCCACAUUGGGACUGAGAUACGGCCCAGACUCCUACGGGAGGCAGCAGUGGGGAAUAUUGCACAAUGGGCGGAAGCCUGAUGCAGCAACGCCGCGUGCGGGAUGACGGCCUUCGGGUUGUAAACCGCUUUCGCCUGUGACGAAGCGUGAGUGACGGUAAUGGGUAAAGAAGCACCGGCUAACUACGUGCCAGCAGCCGUGGUGAUACGUAGGGUGCGAGCGUUGUCCGGAUUUAUUGGGCGUAAAGGGCUCGUAGGUGGUUGAUCGCGUCGGAAGUGUAAUCUUGGGGCUUAACCCUGAGCGUGCUUUCGAUACGGGUUGACUUGAGGAAGGUAGGGGAGAAUGGAAUUCCUGGUGGAGCGGUGGAAUGCGCAGAUAUCAGGAGGAACACCAGUGGCGAAGGCGGUUCUCUGGGCCUUUCCUGACGCUGAGGAGCGAAAGCGUGGGGAGCGAACAGGCUUAGAUACCCUGGUAGUCCACGCUGUAAACGGUGGGUACUAGGUGUGGGGUCCAUUCCACGGGUUCCGUGCCGUAGCUAACGCUUUAAGUACCCCGCCUGGGGAGUACGGCCGCAAGGCUAAAACUCAAAGGAAUUGACGGGGCCCCGCACAAGCGGCGGAGCAUGCGGAUUAAUUCGAUGCAACGCGUAAAACCUUACCUGGGUUUGACAUGGAUCGGGAGCGCUCAGAGAUGGGUGUGCCUCUUUUGGGGUCGGUUCACAGGUGGUGCAUGGCUGUCGUCAGCUCGUGUCGUGAGAUGUUGGGUUAAGUCCCGCAACGAGCGCAACCCUUGUUCACUGUUGCCAGCACGUUAUGGUGGGGACUCAGUGGAGACCGCCGGGGUCAACUCGGAGGAAGGUGGGGAUGACGUCAAGUCAUCAUGCCCCUUAUGUCCAGGGCUUCACGCAUGCUACAAUGGCUGGUACAGAGAGUGGCGAGCCUGUGAGGGUGAGCGAAUCUCGGAAAGCCGGUCUCAGUUCGGAUUGGGGUCUGCAACUCGACCUCAUGAAGUCGGAGUCGCUAGUAAUCGCAGAUCAGCAACGCUGCGGUGAAUACGUUCCCGGGGCU
This 1346-nucleotide ribosomal RNA is filed under the name uncultured bacterium. Its description in RNAcentral is "bacterial SSU rRNA". It matches the Rfam family "Bacterial small subunit ribosomal RNA", at positions 28 to 1381 of the family's 1533-position model. The record is from RNAcentral.